Molecule: ribosomal RNA, 1348 nt
Filed under: metagenome
Description: bacterial SSU rRNA
Rfam family: Bacterial small subunit ribosomal RNA
Source: RNAcentral
ACUCGAAAGAGUGGCUAAUACCGCAUGAGACCUGAGGGUGAAAGCGGGGGAUCGCAAGACCUCGCGCGAUUGGAGCGGCCGAUAUCAGAUUAGCUAGUUGGCGGGGUAAAAGCCCACCAAGGCGACGAUCUGUAGCUGGUCUGAGAGGACGACCAGCCACACUGGGACUGAGACACGGCCCAGACUCCUACGGGAGGCAGCAGUGGGGAAUUUUGGACAAUGGACGAAAGUCUGAUCCAGCCAUGCCGCGUGCGGGAAGAAGGCCUUCGGGUUGUAAACCGCUUUUGUCAGGGAAGAAACGACGUCCUCUAAUACAGGGUGUUAAUGACGGUACCUGAAGAAUAAGCACCGGCUAACUACGUGCCAGCAGCCGCGGUAAUACGUAGGGUGCAAGCGUUAAUCGGAAUUACUGGGCGUAAAGCGUGCGCAGGCGGUUAUGCAAGACAGAUGUGAAAUCCUCGGGCUCAACCUGGGAACUGCAUUUGUGACUGCAUGGCUAGAGUACGGUAGAGGGGGAUGGAAUUCCGCGUGUAGCAGUGAAAUGCGUAGAUAUGCGGAGGAACACCGAUGGCGAAGGCAAUCCCCUGGACCUGUACUGACGCUCAUGCACGAAAGCGUGGGGAGCAAACAGGAUUAGAUACCCUGGUAGUCCACGCCCUAAACGAUGUCAACUGGUUGUUGGGAGGGUUUCUUCUCAGUAACGUAGCUAACGCGUGAAGUUGACCGCCUGGGGAGUACGGCCGCAAGGUUGAAACUCAAGGGAAUUGACGGGGACCCGCACAAGCGGUGGAUGAUGUGGUUUAAUUCGAUGCAACGCGAAAAACCUUACCUACCCUUGACAUGUCUGGAAUCCUGAAGAGAUUUGGGAGUGCUCGAAAGAGAGCCAGAACACAGGUGCUGCAUGGCCGUCGUCAGCUCGUGUCGUGAGAUGUUGGGUUAAGUCCCGCAACGAGCGCAACCCUUGUCAUUAGUUGCUACGAAAGGGCACUCUAAUGAGACUGCCGGUGACAAACCGGAGGAAGGUGGGGAUGACGUCAGGUCAUCAUGGCCCUUAUGGGUAGGGCUACACACGUCAUACAAUGGCCGGUACAGAGGGCUGCCAACCCGCGAGGGGGAGCCAAUCCCAGAAAACCGGUCGUAGUCCGGAUCGUAGUCUGCAACUCGACUGCGUGAAGUCGGAAUCGCUAGUAAUCGCGGAUCAGCUUGCCGCGGUGAAUACGUUCCCGGGUCUUGUACACACCGCCCGUCACACCAUGGGAGCGGGUUCUGCCAGAAGUAGUUAGCCUAACCGCAAGGGGGGCGAUUACCACGGCAGGGUUCGUGACUGGGGUGAAGUCGAAACAAGGUA